UGCCACCGUAAGGUGAGAGGAAGGUGGGGAGUGACGUCAAAUCAGCACGGCCCUUAUGUCCAGGGCUACACACGUGUUACAAUGGCCGGCACAGAGGGCAGCUACCUGGUGACAGGAUGCUAAUCUCGAAAACCGGUCUCAGUUCGGAUCGAAGUCUGCAACUCGACUUCGUGAAGCUGGAUUCGCUAGUAAUCGCGCAUCAGCCAUGGCGCGGUGAAUACGUUCCCGGGCCUU
RNAcentral lists this ribosomal RNA (234 nucleotides) under uncultured Sphingobacteriales bacterium. RNAcentral's name for it is "partial 16S ribosomal RNA". It matches the Rfam family "Bacterial small subunit ribosomal RNA", at positions 1150 to 1382 of the family's 1533-position model. Lineage: Bacteria; Pseudomonadati; Bacteroidota; Sphingobacteriia; Sphingobacteriales. The record is from RNAcentral.